This 5071-nucleotide long non-coding RNA is filed under the name Gossypium barbadense (sea-island cotton). RNAcentral describes it as "long non-coding RNA (GBAR_LNC013332)". The record is from RNAcentral. Lineage: Eukaryota; Viridiplantae; Streptophyta; Magnoliopsida; Malvales; Malvaceae.
UUUACCAAAACUUAACAUUUGGUACCAAUUUUGGUACCAAUUGUAUCACUUAUUCAAUAACAUCAAAUACAUAUACACUUACUAUAGCAUAGUAUCAAAUCACACUAAGUUAUAAAACAUACCUCAUAUGCAUAUUCAACUACUAUUUUACCUUUCAUCAUUCAACCACAAAUCAUUCCACACAUCAACAUUAUAAGGAAAAUUAUGCACAUACCAAAAUACCAAAACACAAAUCAAAUAAGUGGCUUAUCUCAACAAAACACCUAUAGGCCAACAUUUAUCCAAAAUAACCUACACAUGCCAUUAUAACCAAAAUUAAAACAUCCGAAAGUACUGAUAGAAUUGAUGGAUAGUAUGAUAUAACUCCGAUAAGUUUCUAACCCAAUCAAGCUUUCGAUAAUCUGUGAAAUAAAGGAUAAACAACUACGUAAGCAAUGAAUGCUUAGUAAGCUCGUACAAACUUUAAACAUAAUAUUCCAAUUCAAUAAUAAACUUUAUAUAUUAAAUAUAAAGCUAUUCCAAUGCCUCAAGAUUUAUCAACUACAUAACCAUCAACUCAUAAAUGAGUAAGUCUAUCAACAUCAUAUAUAUAUAUUCAUUUCUAACUUAAUAGGAUUUUAUAAACAUUAUACACCAUCAUUAACCUUUUCAUAAAACUACGAAUAACUUCCUUUACUUAUUUUCCAUUCUAUUUACUAAACAUAAACUUAAAUAAAAAUAUCAAUUAACUAAUUAAUAUAUUUAUUCAUAACAUAGGUAAGUUCAACCAUAACAUACGUAAUUUCUCAUAUAUAAGUGCAUUAUUCAACUCAUCAAUCCCUUUUUCAUCAUAUCACAUUUCAAUUAUGAACUUACCGUUUCAUUUGUAUAAUACUAGACAUAAGCAUAUACAUCAAUAAUAAUCUCAAGCUUGACAUAAGCCUAAUCACCAUCAUCAAUACACAAGUUAGUGCAUUUAUGUAUAUAACUCAUUUUCAUGUUUCAAAUCACUAUCCCAUUUUCAAUUCUCAUACAAUAUCAUCCAAUAUCAAUCAUAGUACCGUUUUAUUUAAUUACCCAUAUUAACAUGACUCAGACUUGGACGGAUACACGAAUCCAACCAACAGACCAAUUUGGCACCUAGUGUCUCAUCGGUUAAACCGAAGUAAAUUGGCCCCUAGUGCUUCAUUAACUCGAAAUCGAAGAAAUCCUUGAACUCUUCCUAUCCUAUAGCAUACUAUCUAUAUCCAAAUCAGCCCGAUACAGUUAAUAGAGUUUAAUUUCACUUCCAAAUACAACCAAUAUCCAAUUAUUAUAUUUGCACAUAUAUAUAUUCUUUUCAAUUGAAAUAAUCAACACAUUCAUAAUUUAUAUACCAAUUCAAUCCAUUUCAAUUAACUAUCAAAUGUUAACCUUUUUAAUUCAUACAUAUUAGCACAUCAUUUCAACAUCAUUUCGUACUAUAUUCAAAUUGCACAUGCUAACAUCUUUUAUUUGAUUAACAAUGUCUCAAUUCACACAAUUGCUAUUUAAAUAACUAUUCACAUAUCAAACCAUAAUUAUUUAUACAUUGGCAUUAGUCAUUCAAUAAUUAAAAAAUCUUUCAAACUCAUUAAAAAAUUUACCUUAUCAAGAUUUUCCAUAGAAGAACGACUUACGGAUAAGAGUACAUCAUCAACAGAAGCUCAUAGAGCUGGUCCACUAGAACACGUCAAUGGAAGCUUAUAAGAGUUGAACAGAAGCUCGUAAGAGCUGGUCCACCCAAUCACUCCAAAUAGAAAGUAAAACACGAGAAUUCGCAACAAAUGCUGAACCCCGAUUUACUUGAUUAAUAUGUCGAUAUCUCCCUCCAAUACCAUCAUACAACAAUUUAGGAAUGUACUCAAAUCCCGCGUUCCAUCAAACCGAAAUCCAAUUCAAUAUUAUAAUUCUAACAAUAAUUCAUUUCCAAAAAUAGAAUAAAUAAAUAAUACCAUUAAUCAACUUAUACAAAAUAUUAAAUUUUUACUGUACGAACUUACUUGGCUAAAUUGCAAAAAUACCAAGAUUCAGGGGCAUUUUGGUAAUUUUUUAUUUUCCUCGAUUUUCCACCCGAUCUUGAUCUAAAUUAAUAAUUUCAUUCAAUUUACUAAUUUAUACAAUAAAAAAAUUCAUUUCAUAUAAUUUGGUUUUUUGACAUUUUUACAAAAUUUCCCCUAAAUUUUUACUUUUAUUCAAUUUAGUCUCUAAGCCCAAAUCAUGCAAAUUAACUAUUUUUAAUGCAAACUCAUGCUAGCUGAAUAUUCAUGGCAUUCAAUACAUCCUAUGUUUUCAAUAAUUUUACAACAAAUCCUUGUAUUUUUACUAUUUCAACAAUUUAGUCCCCAAUCGGGAAAUUCAUCAAAAACACUUAAUAAAAUACUUUUAAAUAAGAAUUAAUAUCUCAAAUACAUCAUUUAAUAACUAAAAUCAUAUAUAUUCAUCAAUGGAAACUUCCAAAAUUUUUAGUUAAAUAAAAAACUAAGGUAAGAUUUAGUUGGACCUAAUUGUAACAAUCUCAAAAUUCUAAAAAUAUAAGAAACGGGUAAGAAUUGAACUCACAUAAAACAAAAUAUGAAGAACCAGCUUAAAACUUUCUCUUCUAUGGCAGUUUAGACCGAAACAAGAAGAAAUGUCUAGAAAAUUUUCAAUUUCUAAUUUGUUUCAUUUUAAUUUCAAUUAAAUUAUAAUUUUGCCAUUGAAUGGCUUUAUUUUAUUAUUUUCCUUCCUUAUGCCGUUUCACCCUUUUAAUUUUGGUAUAUUUGCUUCUUAAGUCCUUCCUCUUUUUAUUAAUCAAGUCAUUGAAUCUCUUAAAUAUUAUAAUUAGUAAAAUUUGCACCUUUUUUCAAUUUAGUCCUUUUUAAUUAAUUAAAUAUCGAAACGUUAAAAUUUUUUAACGAAAAUUUAAUACUACCUUAAUGACACUCCGUAAAUAUUUAUAAAAAUAUUCACAGUUCGGUUUACAGAAACGAAGUCCCGAUACCUCACUUUCUAAAACCACUUGACCUAAUAAAUCAUUAUAAAACACAAAUUACUAAUUCAAAAACCUUUUUAAAAUCAUAUUUGACUUGUAAAUAUUAAAUAAGAAUAUUUACAAACUUAAUUGCCGAAUUUGGUGGCCUCGAACCACUAUUUUCGACACCACUGAAAAUCGAGUUAUUACACAUGGUUGUAAAAAUUGGGGGUAAACCACCAAUAUUUUCAAAUAAAACAUUUGUAGAUAAACUACUAGUUGGUUUGUGGAUAAGCCACUACUGGUUUGCAGAUUAUUAAACUGCCACUCUUCCUCCAUGCAUAGCGUCUCACCUCAUGCAAUGCAAUAUGACAUGCUUUGUAAAAGAACAAUGCAAAAACAGUGGACAUGCUUUACAUGUAUUCAGUUCAAAACUACCAGUAGACAUGCUUAACAUGUAUUCAGUUCAACACUAGCAGUAGACAUGCUUAACAUGUACUCAAUAGGGUGGUAACAGUAUUAACACUAACAAUUUUUUAGUAUUACUUUGACAGUAGGCAUGUAAUAUUCACAUCUCAUACCAUAUAACAAUAACACUUUAGUCAUUAAAUUGCAGAUUUCAAAAUAACAAUAUCAGGGACUUAAUUGAGUGAAUAAAACUCUGAAAAUAAUUCAGGGGGAUAUACAAGGACUAAACAUAUCAUAAAUUUCUAAGCAAAAUUGUAAAGAAUGGGUCACACGGCCGUAUGGCCAGGCCAUGUGAGGGUCUCAUGGUCGUAUGGAAGGGUUACACAACUGUGUAGCCAGGCUGUGUAAUAGGUUUAAAUUAAUUUUACUUGCAAAAUUUCUGAUGUAUUGACCUAUCUGAUUUCUUUUUACUUGCAAUUUAAAUUAAUUUUUUAUUUUAAUUUUGUACAUAUUGUAUAUGUAUUAUCAUUAAUUUCAAACAAUACGCUUUAAUACUUAUUAUAUGUUAUUUUUAAGCGCAUAUAUAUAUUAAAUACAUAAUUUUCACAUGCAUAAAAAUGCAAUAGAAUUUCUAUUACAAUAUAGUGUGACAUAUUUUUUUAUCAUCAAAUUCUCUAAAGAUCAAAUCUCAAACUUUGAUCAUAUUGAAAUUCUUGAUACAAUCCUUAUUUGACUUUACUCUUGUACCACAUGAGUGAUGGGAUGUUAAAAAUCAUUAAAAAACCAUUAAAAGCUUCAAAUAAAUAUUAUGAUAAAUUAUUUGAUAGAUUCUUCUCACCAUAUUAUUCACGGUCCCAUUUUAAUUAUUUAGUGAUAUUUUAACAAUUUUUUUCAUAUCAUUCACACCUAAUUUUGUUAAUUUUUUUUACCCUGAAUCUGGAUCUGAAAUCAUGAACCUAAACCUUCAAACCCCAAACUCUAAGCCAAAAAUCUUAAACCUCGAAUUUCAAAUUCAACCCUUCAAUCUUGACCUCGUACCUCAAACCCUAAAUUUUAAACCCAAAUUUAGGGUUUGAGUUUGUGGUUCGAAAUUUUUUGUUCAAGAUUUAAGUUUGAGUUUAGAAUAAAAAAUUAUGUGUAAAUAAUAUGAAAAAAAUACUGAAAUAUCAUUAAAUAAUUAAAAAAUCAUAAAAAAUUAUAGUGGGAAGGGUCGGUAUAAUAAUUUCUCGAAUAUAUAAGAAUCAAAUAAAAGGAACAAUGACUUUCCUUAAGUUAAUAUCAAAUUUUUUCUUCUUUCUCGAACUUUUCAUGGAAACAAAGAAGAGCGUAAAGGGAACAGAGGAAAUUGAAGGGUAGAGAGAGAGAGAGAGAGAGAGAGAGAGAGAAUUAUCUGUUUUACCUGUUUGAAGCUCGAAAACUUUUGCAGAGGUGAAAGUAUAUUUCCAGGUUCUCUCCACUGAUUUUCGAUGAGAAACUUGAGAGGGGUGAUGAAGGAACGCAAGUAAAAUCGUCCAAAUUAGGGAAGCGAAUAAUCUGGGAGUAGAGUGAUGAGAUGAUGAAAACUACCCUCAAAACUCUGCUGCCUGCAAACACCUUUCGCUUCCCUGAUUUGGCAAAUUUUCCAAAUGUUCCAUUUCUGUUACCAUUUACCUCCUCGGCCUCUGCAACUUUAAACAACCAAAUGAAACAAACACUACCAGCCCCAAGGGUUAG